AGCAGUCUAGUUUGGUAGAGUCGGGUUAGCAACAGUGGUGACACGACCUAACCGAGACAGCCAGGCCUCAGUCUCUGCACGAGUCAGCAAGAGGAACCAGCAGGCACGCCAGGAGUUCUCGGCUGUGCCUCUCUCAGCAAAGUGAAGAUCAGUGAAGACUGGAAGCCUUGAGACCCAUAAGCACUGCACAGCUAGCUCUCUCUACAAGCAAGCCAAGCUCAGCAUCAGCCACUGACUGUCAAGUCCUACUUAUACCCUCCAAACAUCACAUGGCCUCCAUGGGCCUCAGCAUGUGCAUCUGUCUCAGAUGACAUCACUCUGCCAAUCAAUCGAAGUUCACAGAAGUGUCAAGAAACUGCAGCACACCACCAGAAGUUUUUUUGGUGCUGUUUCUCCCUAUGCAGUCCCGACAAAUACAACUCGACUAUGCAAGGCCCAGUGUGAUGGAAAAUUAUUGCAGGUUGGAGGCCAGCCUGGUCUACACAGGAAGUUGUAGAGAGAGACUCUAUCUCAAGAAACAAAACCAAAGAUAACAAUAAGAUGUAAGAAGCAAACAGAAUCUACAUUUUCCUGGGCUUCCUCAAGAAAGGAAGCAAGGAAACACAGUGGCUGUUUCACUGACCGACUACGCCAGCUGUCAUCACUAGAACCCUUGAUGAGGCCUGUUUUUUUGGGAGUCAUGGCUGCUUUGAUUCCAGUUGGCUAUGAUCCAACCUAGAGGAAUCAGCUCCGGAGCGCUCCUUAGUUACCAGGUGAUUACAUCAUUCCAGGUAUCCGACACGGGGGAAACUGGCUCAGUAGCUGAUUCCUCAAACAGCUUGCUUUGUGUUGGUUUGGUUUUUGAGGUACAGUCUCAUUACAUGGUCUAGCCUGGGCUAGAAGCUCAUGGUCCUCUUACCUCAGCCUCCUGAGUGCAGGGAUAUAUGCUUGCACAACCACACUUCUUAAAUUUUUUUCUUUAAUUACAUUCACUGACAACCUCAUUGCCCUGGCAAGUCCUGCAUUUUCUCCAUGUCACGUGGAAGGAGAGUGACGAUGGAAUGUCGAAAGCCCAGGAGCAGUGCCUCUCCUCCCCAUCCAUUACUUCCCAGCAUAUCCUGGCUACAAGCUCCUCCUCACAUCCCUAUGCAGGGAGCAGGUUGGCAGCUUGCCUAGUCUCGAAGUCUCAGUCAUUAUUGACUGGCUGUCUGAGUUUCCUCUUCAGAGUAUCUGAUCACCCACCUCCCUAAAAUAGCCCCAGCCAGGGUCAGAUUACCCGCAGCUGCCAGGUCAUACCUGCAAGACGAGCUCUCCCGACAAGCCUAGGGGAAACAAAUCCAUGAUGCUAGUGGUGAUACCUGGAGCAAGUCAGUGGGACCUGUCCAGUCUUGGAUCGCUCAGUGGGGAGUAGACGUGUUAGAGACUAGGGCAGCUCAUCCGUCUCUUUCUUUCUUAUAAACCUUCCACCUCCUCCAAGUCUAUUAUAGAAAGGAAACUCGAGAGCAGAUCCUUAUUUUUCUCCUGGACUUCCUACAUUUGUCCUUGUUACCCCGAAGUCUACCCUCAAUCUAGAGUCCAAAGAAGUAGAGUGUUUGCCUACUACAAAUGAAGCUCUGGGUUGGAGAAUUAGCACCCCAUAAAAGGUUUGGUAAUCCUUUGGUAAUCCUAGCACUUGGAAGGUAGAGGCAGUAGGAUCAGAAGUUCAAGAUCAACCUUGUAAAGUAAGGGGCUAGCCUGUGCAACAUUAGGUAGGGUCUCAAAAGAGCAGUAACAAAAAACACAUUGGGAUACACCAAUGCUUUGCUCAGAACCAUCCAGUGGCUCCUAUCCAACCAGAGGCAAAGCCUUACAAUGGCUGAAGGGCCUGCAGGAUCUGCCAUCAUCCUCCUAAGCCUUUAGGAACCUGACUCCUUAUUAUAGUCUCUCUCUCUCUCCCCCCCGCCCCACUCAGAACAAAAGUGUUGCUCUUUAUAUGCACAGACCCCUCCCACUUCAGGACCUUUGUCCACCCAGGGGACUCUUUCCCCAGAGCUCCACUCAGCCCACUCUUCAGUCUUCCUGCAAACCCCCCUUCUCAGCAAAGCCUCCACUACUGUAAACAGAGCUAAUUACUCCUGGAGGCUGUCCUGGCUCCCUCUCCUCCACCUCAUCCUGUCCUAUUAUUCCCAAAGAAUGAAUGAGUCAUAUCCUGGCAUAGCAUGUAACUUACCUCUGUUCUCUAAUCAUUAGACAUGUAAUCUCUAAGAAGACAUAGAUGUUUGUCCUUUUUGUCUA
This is a long non-coding RNA of Mus musculus (house mouse), 2253 nucleotides long. RefSeq annotates it as predicted gene, 41125. The transcript is spliced from 2 exons. The record is from RefSeq and is a predicted model, not a curated record. Lineage: Eukaryota; Metazoa; Chordata; Mammalia; Rodentia; Muridae.